This is a long non-coding RNA of Myotis myotis, 3304 nucleotides long. RefSeq lists it as uncharacterized. Lineage: Eukaryota; Metazoa; Chordata; Mammalia; Chiroptera; Vespertilionidae. The record is from RefSeq and is a predicted model, not a curated record. The transcript has 3 exons.
AAAAUGCCUUGGCAAUUUUAGCAUAGUUCCUAGAAUAUUGGUUGGCACUCAAAGGGUUAAUUCCCUUUUAAUGUGCAUGAAUUUCGUGCCCUGGGCCACUAGUAUCAAUAUAUUCUAACAAGCUUAAUUCUGAAUACUUCAGAGUUAUUGGGCAUGUUGGAGUGGCCCCUGUUACUAGGGAUUACUGCCAGUAAAGAACGGAUAACACAAAUAAGAUUUUUUUCCAUUAUAAAAUGGAUAUAUGCUAUUUAACAGUCUUUAAUCAACACUUACAUAUAGCUUGAUGUCUGGAGUUAUAUGUGAUUUAAAACAACAACCAUUCUAUUAUAUCUUUUGAUUUUUGUGGAUCAGGAAUAUAAUCAGGGCUCAGCUGGAUAAUUCACCUGGUUCAUGUGGUAUCUAUAGAGGUCACUCCGUAGACUUCAGCUGGGAGAUGGGCUGAUUACAGAGUCCACGGUGGUUUUGCUCAUGUCUGGCACUUUGGUGGAGAGGGCUGGAAGGCUGGGCUCAACUGCAGCGGUGGCCAGAGUAGGUGCAUGAGACCUCACCAGCAUGUCAAUCGCAGCGUGCUGUAAUAGCUAGGUGAUAGACCAAGUCCCAGAGAAAACGUUCCAAGAAAGCUAGAUAGACACUUUAAGACUUUGUAUUAGUUUCAUGUUGCUGCUGUAACAAAUUGCCACAAAUUUAGUGGUUUAAAACAGUACAAAUUUAUUUUCUUAGCAUUCUGGGGGGUUGAAGUCCAAAAGGAGACUUAAGGGGCUAAUAAAAGCAUCAGCAAGGUUCUGUCCUGGAGGCUCCAUAGAAGAAGCUCUUCCUUGUCUCUUCCGGCUUUUGCCGUUCCUUGGUUCCUGUCCACAUCACUCUGAUCUCUGUUUUUGAUCAAUACAUCAUCUCCUUCAUUGACCUUUUCUUGCCUCCCUAUUAUAGUGACCCCUGCGAUCAUAUUUAGGCCCCGAAUAAUCUCAUUCUCUCAAAAUCCUAAUUAAUUACAUCUGCAAAUCUCCUUUGCCAUCCAAGGUAACAUAUUCAAGGGUUGGAGGAUUGGGAAUGGACAUUAUUCAACCUUCCACCCGACUUGUUAUGAUGACCUAGCUUUGGAUGUCCCAGAAUAUCACUUCUGCUGGUUGAACAAGUCACUAAGACCAGUCUGGAUUCAAGGGAAGGGAAAUUAGCAAGUGGUAUUCCAUGUAGAUGGCCAUGCUUAAUAGUAACUUAUUACUUUCUAUCAGUGCGUUUAGAAAAGAAUAAUUUCUGUUGGAAAUCUUGUAUUACAUCUUUCUCUAUUAACGCAUACCAUUGACAUAUAGGCUUUUGUUUAUUUUAAGAAAUUUGAACAUUAGUUCUUAUGCUGAGUGCUAGUGCAGUGAUUUCUUUUAUAUAUUGAGCUACGUGGGACUCCUUCCUCCAAAUAGGAUUUCUCAACAUUGGCACUAUUGACAUUUGGGGCUGGAUACUUCCUUGUUGUGGGGGCCGUCUUCCCCAGGGGAUUUUUAGCAGUGUCCCUGUCCUCUACCCACUAGAUGACAGAGCACCCUCGGACCCACCUCACCCAGUUCUGGCAACCAAAAAUGUUUCCAAACAUUGCCGAAUGUUUUAUGGAGAAGAUGUGGGGUGGGGGGAAGAGGAGAGAGUAGCAAAGUUGUCCUGGUCAAGAGCCAUUGCUUUAUAUGAAAUGCUGUAAGCUGCUGCUGCUUCAAUCCUCUGCCUUAGCUCUCCUUCUCUUCUGUCAUACAUGGAUACUUGCUGUUAUCAGUGUAUUCUCUUUGCUUCUAGCUCAUUGCUUUAUUUUACAUUUAUUUGUCUCUGGAUAAGGCCAGAAGAGUAACUCCUUACCUCUCUAUCAAACUCCUCACCUCUCUAUCAAAUAAAUGAGUUUUGUGAUAGCUGUUUUCCUUGAUUGCGAUGUCUCUUAAUUUCUAAGUUCUUGACUAAAUUCUAAAUAUUAGAUACUUAGAAAAUAUGGCUUCAGGUAAGCUGAACACUGCUAGAGUGUUUGAUUCACUAGUAAUUAAUUUGGUGUUCAUCUCAGUAGUCACUUAUUGCUAACUUAAGCAAUCAUGACAAGCAAGUUUUUAUAAACAAAUUUGUGGAUAGGAAAAUUGAAAUAAUAUGAAGUCUGCUACUUACAGGGGCAUCCAGAAGGUCAGUUGCAACUAAAGAUAAUGGAUGUUUUUGAAUGUUGGGAAUGAUCUGAUAUUGAACCAUUAAUAGUUUCAGUUUUUCUAAAAAUAGUGAUGAGUUUGCAUAACCACACUUUUGACUGGUUUUCUUUGGCACGUCAGUGUAAAGCUAACUAGAACAAAUAAAGACCAAUCUUUGAGUGAAAAAUUUAUUAGCAUUUUUCUCAAGUCAGUUGAAUUAAUUAGCAUGUAGAUUUAUAGGACUCUUCCCUUGUGUUUGACUCACAGGUUUAUGUCUGCUUUAGGUUAAUAAAAACAACCACAUUAGAAACAGAAGUUAGAUGUUAAAAUGUAAUAACUUAGUUACCUCAGAUCUUCUGGUAAAUGAGAGAUCUUCUAGGCAAAGGACUUUAAGCUCUUAAGCAUUUACUUGGAUAGCUUUUAUUGGAAGCAUAUUUGAACGUAGUGCUGCAUUUUUCCCUGCCUUAAUGAAAGCAUAAUGAGCACAAUUUAGCUUCUGCUAGAUGUCAGAGUCCUUAUAUACUGUAUUUUAAUACAGCAAUAUUUUGGGGGGCUACUUCUAUUUGUAGAUAUACUACUAGUCAUCACACCCUGUGCCAUUCCAGUUGGCAGGCUUUUUAGACUCUGUCGUAUAGUGGUAGUGAAAUGUGCUGGACUUAUAGUAACCCUCCCCCACCCCUCAGUGCCUGCAGACUAUUCUACGCUAUUCUCAUUCAUCCCUUGUGGUUGUGGUAAACUCUUUUCUGCUGUGUAAGGAGGUUUGCUUUUUGGCAUCUUUUUUUGUUAUUUUUAAUGUCUGCUCUUUGUCACUCUUCCAUGUGUUUUUUCUUUCUUUUCUUUUUCUUUCAUUCUCAUUUUGUUUUUGCUCCCCCUAGGCUUCUCAAUAGGGUUUAAUCCUGAUAUUCGUUUCAAGGUCAUAGACCACCACCCUUCUUUGUCUUUCCACCUAGCCAAUUGCUUCCAUCACAUUAUUGAUCUUUGAUGCUCAGAUCUCACAUUGAAGAUCCUAAGACCUUCUGCAGCUGCAACUCUCGCUGCUGCUAACACCAUCUUCACUACAAUUACUUAGCAAUUAUUAAGCAUCUGCUAUGUGUCAAACAUGCUGAAUUAAAUUUUUGAAUGAGUUUUAUAAAAAACUAGAGGCCCGAUGCAUGAAGAUUCAU